RNAcentral lists this ribosomal RNA (497 nucleotides) under uncultured bacterium. Its description in RNAcentral is "partial 16S ribosomal RNA". It matches the Rfam family "Bacterial small subunit ribosomal RNA", at positions 28 to 507 of the family's 1533-position model. The record is from RNAcentral.
GAUGAACGCUGGCGGCGUGCCUAAUACAUGCAAGUCGAGCGAACAGACGAGGAGCUUGCUCCUCUGACGUUAGCGGCGGACGGGUGAGUAACACGUGGAUAACCUACCUAUAAGACUGGGAUAACUUCGGGAAACCGGAGCUAAUACCGGAUAAUAUAUUGAACCGCAUGGUUCAAUAGUGAAAGACGGUUUUGCUGUCACUUAUAGAUGGAUCCGCGCCGCAUUAGCUAGUUGGUAAGGUAACGGCUUACCAAGGCGACGAUGCGUAGCCGACCUGAGAGGGUGAUCGGCCACACUGGAACUGAGACACGGUCCAGACUCCUACGGGAGGCAGCAGUAAGGAAUCUUCCGCAAUGGGCGAAAGCCUGACGGAGCAACGCCGCGUGAGUGAUGAAGGUCUUCGGAUCGUAAAACUCUGUUAUUAGGGAAGAACAAGUGUGUAAGUAACUAUGCACGUCUUGACGGUACCUAAUCAGAAAGCCACGGCUAACUACGUG